RNAcentral lists this long non-coding RNA (3728 nucleotides) under Nicotiana tabacum (common tobacco). Its description in RNAcentral is "long non-coding RNA (NTAB_LNC011989)". The record is from RNAcentral. Lineage: Eukaryota; Viridiplantae; Streptophyta; Magnoliopsida; Solanales; Solanaceae.
UUUCAUCUAAUGGUCAAAACUAAUCCCCACCCACAUAUAUCUACCUAAUUAAACCUAAAACCCUGGGGGGGGGGGGGGAGAAACCAGUCGCCCACCCUAGCUACUUCAUCUCCAUCUUAAACCCCCAAAACCCUAGAACACAAAAAGAAGCCUCCGCCGACCAUCCCACACAGCCGUCGGCCACCCCUUCACCUCUCCACCAGGCGCACACCCGUACCCCUUUACCAUUUUUCCACCCAAACCCAGCGACCUAGCCGCUGACCUCAUCCCAUCACCCAACGGUCCCCUCUCUCAAAGAUCUCACAACUCCUCUCCUCUUUCAACACCAUCAAGAGGACCCCCAGCCGUCACCCUCUCCAAAAAAACCUAGAUCUAACCCUAAUGGCCCUUUAACCUAAGAGCCGUCACCUUCAGCGAUUGAACCCUCCGCCGCCAGACCCCAGCAGCCAUACCAUCUUUGUUAGCCUCACUAUCGCCAUCCACGCCACCCGAGCUCGCCGCAAACCACCGUUGCUUAGCCCCGAAAACUAGCCAGCAGCCCUCCAUCAAUAAUACGUGAAAGCUUAAGAGGGCAGAGAAUGAAUAUCAAAGAAUUGUAAUCACAUUAGUUCAUUGAUUCCACAUGCUUACAAUCAAAUUAAAUCCAUUCAUCUUUUCAUCAUUGUGGCAAUCUCUCUUAAAGACAGUGUGUUAUUGAUGGAAGUUAACACAGUCAACUCACUAUGCAAAGUUUCACUUUCGUCUAUAGCAAUUCUUCGAUACUCUGAAUUUUAGUUCUUGCUCUCUUCUCUAUCGCGAAUCUGAUGGCACAAUGUCUUUUGUUUCUAUUUUUGGCUGCAUUUUUCUCUAUUUUCGGACUCCUCCAUGCCAGUGUCGGCGAUGCCGAUCCGAUUUGUAGGUGACCUGUUCGAGGUCCGGAUUUAGCUCCUAUCAUUUUAUCUCCGAUUGCAGUCCAUUAUUUUGGGUCAGUUGGCAAACAUUGGAGAUCUUGCAUUCAUUGAGGUUUGUUUCUUAUUUUUCUAUACUUUGUUUUGCUUAAUAGCACAAUCCCUUGUUAUUACGUAAAUCUAUCGAUUGCACUGAUUGUUGAUUGCGUGAGUUACUAUAUCCUUGUUCUGUUUUUGAAUGUUUGGUAAUAUCUUCUUUUGUUAAUGAUUCUGUUUGUACGUGAUUUAGUUUAAAUAUGCUAUGGAUGGGUUUUUGAUGGUGAAAAUGAGUUUUGAUUCCAUGUUUCACCACUUUAUUAAGAGGCAAUCAUUUAAGGCUUCACAGUACCAUUUUGAUGAUAAAGAAUCAAAUUGACAUAAUUAAGUAGUUUGAAUGGAAUUCUAGCUGUUUCAAUUGUGGGAGUUAGCUUUCAAAACGUGAGGAAAUCGGAAUUAGAUAAUUUUGUUGCUAUUUCUUUCUUACUCUCAUGAAUUUAAUCGCUAAGAGCAUGUUUAGGUCCGCUAGCACUUGGGUAGGUAAACCUUAGAAUUUUUGUUAGUUUCUAGGCGAGAGGCCGUUUCCUUAGUUAAAUUUAUCCGGGGAAUUGCCCGCAUAAUUUGUAUAUAUUUUAUCCGGGGUAUGCCCCGCAUAAUUUGUAUAUAUUUUAUCUGGGGUAUGCCCCGAAGUACUUGUAUUUGGAGGCCUAGAGUGGAACUCGUAGUAUUUUUAUCUUUAUUUUUAUUUUUAUUUUUCUUUUAUUACACGGGAACAACCUCGAGCCUCUUGUGUGUUUAUUUUUCUUUUCUGUGUUUGUUUUUAUCUCAAUUUGAAUAUUUUAAAAGUCAACUAGAUCAAGUAUGCAACCGUACUAGUUACGGGGCUUGGGGAGUGCCUAACACCUUCUCCCCGAUUCAAAUGAACCCCCUUACCCGAAUCUCUGGUGCGGACUUAAUUUUGGGAGUCCAAAGUGUUUAAAAAGGAAAGAAUCAUUUUUACAAAAUGGUGACCUGACACACCAAAACUAAUGUCAGGUGGCGACUCUGAAAAAAUCCUUUUGAACACAAUUUUGUCACAUUUUAAAUUUGAAAACCCUUUUGAGCUUCAAAUCUCUUUUAUAUAUUUUAAGAGGGUUAAGUAACGUUGGUAAAAAAAUGGGUGUGACAUCUCUGGCGACUCAGCUGGGGAGUUGCAGGUUCGAGCUGAUACUUGAUCUUGUUGGCUUUUAGGAUAUUCGAUUGAGGUGUUUGUUUUCUUUAUGUGCUUUGUUUAUUUAGUUUUUUUGUCUUAUUUCCUAUUUAUUUUGGUUGUUUGUUUAUCGCUUUUCUUUAUGUGUUUACCGCUUUAUAAUUAUCAUCAUUUGCAUAACCAUGGGUAUUCUUUCUGCAACAAGUCUCGAAGUACGCGUCGCGUGCACGAACUCUUUGUUGAGUCACCUUUAUUUUAGGAGGGGGGUCCGUCGGACGUAUGGAGUGGGUGGAAAUCUUGAGUAGCCAUCAUCGACCAUACGCUCCCCCGAAUUGCCUUGUUAGUGAACCCCAAAUUUAGGUCAGCCUUUAGGUCAUUCUUAUUUUCAUCAUGUCAUUUGGACUUAGUAGGGCUCGGUCCCAGGCACCGUGUCCCUUUGUAGGAAGCCUGUCCAAAUUUUGUCAAAAAUGGGCCCGUGGCCCAAAAAGACAUUCAAUCAUCCCUAUGUGAUACAUGUUGCAUCUUUGAGGGUAAAAAGGUCAUUUGGCGGACCGAUACUUGGGAAAGAAGGGUGAAAAAUGAAACAAGUAGGGAAUAGUUAUAUUUUUCUUUCACAACUUUUUCAAAAAAAAAAUCAAAAAAAAUGAAAAUGAAAAAUCCAAAAAAAAAAGAUUUUACACUUUCCCAUCAUUUUUCAAAAAAUGAAAAAAAAUGAAAAAAAAUCCAAAUAGAUUUUACAAUUUCCCAUCAUUUUCCAAAAAUUCAAAAAAAGAGAAGAAAAUCAAAAAAGAUUUUACAUUUUCCAUCAUUUUUCAAAAAGACAAAAUAUAUUGUUUUCUCCAAAUUAGUGUCAUUUUUUAAGCUUUCUCCCAUAUCCAAUCUUCUCGAACUACGCGAACCUGAUUCUCGUCUUUCGGGACAUGAUACGUAGAUAACUCACAUAGGGUCUGGUCUUCCUAGUAAGUCUUUGGUUCUUGGCUUUGCGGGAUCUUAGCCAAAUCUUGUGUGUCUAGCCACAUUCGGCUACAUCAGCCAUUCUUGCAAAAUGGGAUCAUUUUCGCAAAGUGGUUCAAUUACCCAUGUCUUAGGAUCUUGAGUCCACAACUAGGGGUCAUAUUACUUUAAGACACGUCCUUAUUGAGUUUGUAUCUUUAGCCACUUCUAACCAUAUCGGCCAUUUUUGUAAAAUGGGUCAUUUCUGCAAAUUAAUCUUGGGCCAUGAUUAUUGGGAGUGUGAAUUCAUAUAUGCCUUAGUGAGGUAUAUCUCUAUCUGAGUAGUCACCUUUAUUGAGUUUGUAUUAAUAGCCACUCUUAGCCAUAUAGGUUAAUUUUCAAAAAUAGCCAAAUCUUGUCUUGCAUGUGUCCAAUAGGAGAGUGGUCUCAUAUAGUGUCUCGAGUCAUUUAAUCUGUUUGGUCUUAUUUCUCUCAUUAAGGUAUGGAUUCAUUUACUAGAGCUCGAGCAUGACAGAUCACAUUUUGGGAGCUGUUUGAGGAGACUUUUUAUUUUUGAGUCUGUUUUAUAUUAUUUUUUGCUUUCUAGUCUUGUAUGGUAGUAUUUAGUCUUUUAGUUGGUGUAACAGUUUGUCGUAGUAUAGUUGAGUUUGUUAAGUCUUGCG